Molecule: transfer-messenger RNA, 331 nt
Filed under: uncultured Maritalea sp.
Lineage: Bacteria; Pseudomonadati; Pseudomonadota; Alphaproteobacteria; Hyphomicrobiales; Devosiaceae
Description: Alphaproteobacteria transfer-messenger RNA
Rfam family: Alphaproteobacteria transfer-messenger RNA
About the family: Bacterial tmRNA, also known as 10Sa RNA or SsrA, is named for its dual tRNA and mRNA-like properties.
Source: RNAcentral
GUCAGCAGGUACCUAUAUUUAGGGGGCUGGCAACAGCUAUGGCGAUAAAUGGAAAUCGUAAUAAACCAUUCGGACCCGGGGGCGGUACCCGGCGCCUCCACCAAAACUCAGCUAAGCCGCUGAAAUAUGGGGGCGAAAUAGGAUCGACGAGGGUGUAAAGGGUUGUCUUUCGCUCGGCAUGGUACCACCGUAUCGGACCAUUUUGAUAGUUGCAAAUGACAACUUCGCUGAGGCACGUCUAGCUGCGUAACGCGGUUCGACACCUCGAAUUGAAGUCCUAGCCUCUAGCAAGGUCUAGGCGGGGUUCGCAGGUACCUGGCAACAGAAACCU